This 427-nucleotide ribosomal RNA is filed under the name uncultured bacterium. RNAcentral's name for it is "bacterial SSU rRNA". It matches the Rfam family "Bacterial small subunit ribosomal RNA", at positions 355 to 774 of the family's 1533-position model. The record is from RNAcentral.
UGGGGAAUUUUGGACAAUGGGCGCAAGCCUGAUCCAGCAAUGCCGCGUGCAGGAUGAAGGCCUUCGGGUUGUAAACUGCUUUUGUACGGAACGAAACGGCUCUGUCUAAUACAUGGGGCUAAUGACGGUACCGGGGGAGGAAGCCACGGCUAACUACGUGCCAGCAGCCGCGGUAAUACGUAGGGUGCAAGCGUUAAUCGGAAUUACUGGGCGUAAAGCGUGCGCAGGCGGUUAUGUAAGACAGAUGUGAAAUCCCCGGGCUCAACCUGGGACCUGCAUUUGUGACUGCAUAGCUGGAGUACGGUAGAGGGGGAUGGAAUUCCGCGUGUAGCAGUGAAAUGCGUAGAUAUGCGGAGGAACACCGAUGGCGAAGGCAAUCCCCUGGACCUGUACUGACGCUCAUGCACGAAAGCGUGGGGAGCAAACA